RNAcentral lists this ribosomal RNA (506 nucleotides) under uncultured bacterium. RNAcentral's name for it is "partial 16S ribosomal RNA". It matches the Rfam family "Bacterial small subunit ribosomal RNA", at positions 899 to 1397 of the family's 1533-position model. The record is from RNAcentral.
ACUCAAAGGAAUUGACGGGGGCCCGCACAAGCGGCGGAGCAUGUGGCUUAAUUCGAUGCAACGCGAAGAACCUUACCUGGGCUUGACAUGUUCGGAAAUCCCCCGGAGACGGGGGGUCCUUUAUUGGGCCGUUCACAGGUGGUGCAUGGUUGUCGUCAGCUCGUGUCGUGAGAUGUUGGGUUAAGUCCCGCAACGAGCGCAACCCUCGUUCCAUGUUGCCAGCAUGCCCUUCGGGGUGAUGGGGACUCAUGGGAGACUGCCGGGGUCAACUCGGAGGAAGGUGGGGACGACGUCAAAUCAUCAUGCCCCUUAUGUCCAGGGCUGCACACAUGCUACAAUGGCCGGUACAGAGGGCUGCGAUACCGCGAGGUGGAGCGAAUCCCAAAAAGCCGGUCUCAGUUCGGAUCGGGGUCUGCAACUCGACCCCGUGAAGUCGGAGUCGCUAGUAAUCGCAGAUCAGCAACGCUGCGGUGAAUACGUUCCCGGGCCUUGUACACACCGCCCGU